RNAcentral lists this ribosomal RNA (228 nucleotides) under uncultured bacterium. RNAcentral describes it as "partial 16S ribosomal RNA". It matches the Rfam family "Bacterial small subunit ribosomal RNA", at positions 107 to 334 of the family's 1533-position model. The record is from RNAcentral.
UGAGUAACGCGUAUGCAACUUGCCUAUCAGAGGGGGAUAACCCGGCGAAAGUCGGACUAAUACCGCAUGAAGCAGGGAUCCCGCAUGGGAAUAUUUGCUAAAGAUUCAUCGCUGAUAGAUAGGCAUGCGUUCCAUUAGGCAGUUGGCGGGGUAACGGCCCACCUAGUCUUCGAUGGAUAGGGGUUCUGAGAGGAAGGUCCCCCACAUUGGAACUGAGACACGGUCCAA